Molecule: long non-coding RNA, 5328 nt
Organism: Rhipicephalus sanguineus (brown dog tick)
Lineage: Eukaryota; Metazoa; Arthropoda; Arachnida; Ixodida; Ixodidae
Exons: 2
Source: RefSeq, a predicted model, not a curated record
AGCCCGGGACAGUGCCGCCACCGGCGUGCAUGCUGCAGGAGGAGCAGCCUCCAUCAGCACGCGCAGCGCGCCGGCUUAGCGUCUCCCGCCGCUAAAGAAUGUCUCGCGUCGACGGCUUGUUUACCACCGCCGGGCUCGACGGCAAGCCAACCAGUGCGCGAAAUCACUGCCGCGGCGGCGUCGAGACGGGAACAUCUGCGGACGCGCCUUCCAGACGUCGACUACGAAGCGGUCCUUAGCGAUCGAGAUCGCCGGGAAAACGAGAGGAGAGAGGCGAGAGCUCCGGGGUUUUUGUUCCCCGGCGGCUCCCGGAUUCAAAGAUGGCGCUGCGGCUGGCUUGUUUUGCAUCGGGCCCGCGGCUCGCGCGGCGAAGGCUUCACGGACGGCUCGGAAACGCGCGCUUCGGCGCAGCGUCGGCGGCGCCAACCCCGGCGCCGUUCGAAAAUCGGUGGCCUCCCGUCGUCGCAUCGCCGCGCAGCCGGAUGUCGAUGCCUGAGUUCGUGUACCAGGACAGGAAUAUACGACUUCAAGGACGAAGCACAAGACGGAAACAGGGAUCAGGAUAGAACGCCAACGAAUCGACUCCGAGCACCGAACGAAUGCCUAUACGAACGCUGACAUCGCCGAAGUUGCAGCACAGGAAAAUGCUUCGGAAAAGGCAUGCAUUGCCUGAAAGAAAGUCACCUUCGCCACCGGAGAAAGCGAAUGCGGGUCUUCAAAAUGCCGACCAUCUGUGAAGGACGCCUUAGGUCUCAGUAUUGACGUAUCAACAUAUGACAAAACAAAACGAUCACUGAUUAGUCAAAUAUUCAUCUAGUCAUAGACACAUGGAGAGUUCGAAGGAACCUAACUCUCGACAAGAAGAAGUUCCAUGAUGUCUAAUUCUUGUCUGCCCUGUUCAUUCUUUUGGCAAAGCUCUUCAGGACGGUUUAUUAUACGCCGGUGGGGCUAAAUCUUAGCGAUUCAAUUAAGGUUGCUGCCAUUAACACUGCUUGCCAUUUUUAGCUUCCACGGCCAAAUCAGUGCACUUCGGGCACUGAUGUGUGCACGUUAAAGUGUCCUAUCAUGUGGGCCCAAGCCGUACUAGCGUGAAUAGUGUACUGCUUGAAGUCAAUGGAGCAUGACAUCUCACGCAACGUCCUUGGUUUCUGUCACUAAAUUCAUUUGGUGGGUGGUCGUGGCCCUAACAUUUACGAUAAGAGUUGAGUAGGUACUCUUACUAUGUAGGUAGCCAUGACGAUGUGACGCUUGAUUGAAGCAAUCUGAGCUACGAACUGCUAUCCUAUUAUAUGUAGGGUACGGCUAUUUCAGGUGACAGUAAAAAUUUUCAGAACCCAUCGGAAAGACGAUAACCCCGACAGGGUUCUUCGCCUUUGGAACGCUAUUUCGCGCAUUUACAGGUGAUGAAAGACCGGUGGUUCAGCUCACAAAACAAUUUGCUAAAUUAGCGAGGAAUUUUGAUGGCUACUGAAGUUGCGGAAUAUUUAUGAUGACAGUUUUGCAGCCUGCCAAAACGUUGGCAAUUCACGUUUUGCGAAAAUAUCAAUAGCACAAUUUUUAUCCCGACAAGUAUAAGUCGUCAAACUUAAAGGAGCAUUUCGAUAGAUUUUAUAUGCAAAGUAAAACUGUUAUUUUUAGCUGUGACGGAAUUCUUUUUUAUUUCCGAUCAAGAGGUACUCAAAAAUAAUUUGACAGUACCUGUGUUACACAUGUACAGAUCGGCAAGGCAAAUGUAAUGGUGAACACGCCUGCGUGUUACCGUGUUCAUUUGUUGAGCGGCAGUAUUACUAUACUGAUUGUACCUAAGAAACCUGCAACCACUUUUUGUUCACAAGUAUAUUUCGAAUUUUUGCCUGUAUUUUUGCACGUCUGUUCAUCACACACUUUACCAUGUACAAAUCUGAGUUCUUUCAAUAUCGUUGCGAGAAUUCUUGAUAUCUUUGUUGUUUUGUAUAUAUACAUUCUACACUGCAAAUUCAACAUAAUUUCUAAUCGUGUGAGUGGGUCAAAAUUUUUGUAAAAAGUGUCGGACCAGUACGAGCCAUGUUUUGAUCGCCUGUAUUCAUUGCAAAGGCUAAAUUUUACCAGGAAUCAAGUAACCAUUGGAAUGCUUCCGACGCAUCCACAAAAACAUUGUGCUCGUGCUUCAAGGUAUUUGAGGAGAAAUGUCUUCCUCUCUGUAUAGAGAAGACUGAUCGCCAUGUUCAUAAAAAGAGCGAUUACGUAGCCUUGAUCGUGAAUUUCGCGAAGCCGUAUAGUGCGGCGUUGCAUUUGUAACAAGUCUUAGAAAAGUUGUAUGCUUCAAGACCCUUUAAGAUUUCCUUGUCAACCUCUGGUAAUGUCCUACUACAGGCCGUAUGAAGCAAUACCUUAAGAUUUCUGUCACGUACAGUCGAUGCAUUGCGCACAAAUAUUGUUGUUUAGGUACGACUGACUACCACGUCUUACAGUCUCCCACUAUUGCCGUUAUCUUGCGACCGCUUGCACCGUUAUUGUAACGUUUUUGGUGCUUGCGUGGUUGUAUGCUUCUGUUGCGAACGAACGUUCGACAGCGCAUGCUCCCAAAAGUCUCAUGGUGCACAAAUGUUGUACAGGGUGUCCCUUUCCAUUUCCAGGUGUUGCAGCCUUCAACUCGCUUCUUCUUAUAUACUGCAUGCUGCAGUUAAUCUGGGGCUUGUUUCCUCUGUGAAACGGAGACGACUGUUUGGUUCGUCAAGUGUGCAUAUGUAGUAGAGUAACAAAAACCCAUUAAUAUAUGCUCAUUGGAUACAUUUAUGAGACCAAGUCAGAGAAAUAUCACACCUAGGCUAUCACUUCUCAAUCGUACAUUUGAUAUAGUUGCAGUGAUUUCUGAACUCCACUCGCAGCGUUUAUGUUCACAUCCUAAAAAGCUUGACGACGCGGAGUUGCAGUUUGCGACUAUCUUACUAUUUUGAGUGACACAAAUGUAUAUUUCAUUAUUAGCCAACAGAAAAGAUUUGCAACUAGCGUAUUAUCUAAAAUCAUUGUAAAAUAUAUUCGAGUGUGUUAUUGUGACGACCAUAAAAAUUAGUCUCCUAGCACUGUAAGUCUGUAAGUAUUGUGAAAACGCCAGCCUACGUUUCUGUAGCGUUCCGAGGACAUCUGACAAAGCUCACCCGCUGUGAAAAUACUUGUACCGCUGGGAUGUGCCGUAACCGCUGUUGUGAAGUGCAUGUAGUGUCGUCAAUUCUUUGUAUGCCGAGCCCGUGCGGCUUCGUCGUGUCUUCUCUGUCUGUUCCGCUACUCUCAACCGAACACAAGUUAAGCGCAUCUCAGGAAACUGUAUACCCUUGGCGCACGGCGCAUUCUGGGUUGUGCACGGUACACCCUGCUGCGCCUGCACUCGCCUCCUUCGUCCCUUGCCCUCCUUCGACGCGUUUACACCUUCAGUAUUGGUGCUUCCAAGUGCGUAGCUGUAUCCUUGCAAGGUUGCCACAGAAGCUCGUAGAUUCAAGUGUGAUUAAAUAAGAAUGGUCGUGAAUCUCAUAGCGUAUACCGUAAUGCGGUGAAAUGAUCCCAUGCGUGAUUAUAGGCUAGAGAGGGGGAAUGCAGGAAGGGCAACGGGGUUACCUGGACUUUGUCCACAUUGCUACCCUACACGUGGGGAGGGGAUUUAUGGCUCAAAAGAGAAAGGUGGAGAAAGCGUGAUUGCAGACUAUUUGCAAUAGACAAGUAUAGCGCAGCGCAUACCUGUACGGACGAUCACUUAAGCCAGUUACCUUCAAGAACUGCAGAAGGGCUCGUAUGACUUUCUGGGCUGAUGAGCUGUGAGGCCAGGCUAUUUCCUUCAGCAAAAGGCCAAUCUCCAAGUCUGCUUAAAGCACACUGGAGAUUAUGGCGAACUAAGUCAAAUUGAUAAAAGUGACACAACAAGGGAUCUAUGGUCGCUUCAGUUCAGCCUGUUAGUGCACAUGAAUGAAUCAGCCAUUCCAAUGCGACAGCUGCACGAGUAUGUAUCGUUAUAUACCUAUUUUUUUCGCAAGUGCCACUGGAGCAAGAUGGGCACAUUAAAAAGUUUGUACCAUGGGCUCAUUGGUGACUGAACAGUGAAUAACUAACUUCUCUAUUCUCCCAUGUAGUCGUCCUUUAGAAUGGCUCCAUCAAAUUUACAACGCGCCAUAGCUCAAAUUCAAUUGGCCUAUAGAAAGUAACAUUGCUAGCGCAUUUUGGUACAUAGUGGUUUUUAUGAGUACUGCACAAUCACCGCGAAACGUACGGUUGGAGAACUAACAGAAGCACAGUGUUAUGAACUUGGCUGUAGAUGACCUCUUCGUAGGCAUUCACUAGUUCUCUCUGUCAUUGACCUAUAGAAGUAAAGUGAUCUGUAUUGCCGAAGUUGACGGAACCGAAAGAGGGACCGAACAGUAAGCAAUGCCUGAGAACGCAGGACGUACUGAUCUCUAUAUAUAUGGGACUGAAUGACGUGAACGUCAAUGGCUAGAUGCCGAAUUGGGCUCAAAGUAGAUCUAGUUCGUUGAAGUGUGAACGAGUCCACUUGCCGAAACCUUGACCCAACACACAGGGUUUCCUCAUUUGUACACUGUUGGUCACUUCAAGUCUUCGUCUUCCUGUGAUCAUUUUGUUGUGUUUGAGUCUGAUGGUGUGUAAUGUCUGACUGUUUAGUGUUCCAGCAACGUAUACCAUGCUUGUUUGGUCACCGAACGCGAAAGUCUGUAUUUAUGUAUGUGUACACAAAUGAACACGGUUUAUCCCUUAUAUGUUCGAUGUUUUUGGCCUAAUUUUAUCAGCGGGACAAUGUGUGUGCAUUAUAAACAUUAUUAACGCUCAGUGGUGCAUAUAACACGAAGUAUGUGAGCAUCCGAAGAAAGUUCGUCCUUUCGAUGUUGAAUGUGUCUUUCAGACGUAGAAAGGAGUAUGUGUUGUGCGCAUUAUAUAUAUUCUGAGAUUCAGCCUUGUAUAACAUGCUGUGAUGUGUAUUCGCUGGAAAUGUUAUGCCAGUCAGUGAAAAGACUUCUUUUGACUGAAACUUAUAAUACAUAUGCUAGUCUGUACAACACCUCGUUGCUCGCACUCUGUGAGACUCAGUAAAUUGGGGUGCAUAUUUAUGUCGUUUGAUCUGUAUUGCCACAAAAUCGGCAAUGGAGGAAAAUUGCUUGACAAGUGUGAUGAUUCAUAGUUUAGUUUAUCUCUCCAUGUAUUACGGGACAACAUGAGGAGCGCACGGUUAUUCCUUUCGAGGUGCUCGACAAUGUGCUAAUACGUGCCAUUCUGGCCAUCGCCAACCAUGUAUUCUUUCGAAUCUCUUACUUAUUAAUUAAACAUUAAAACUGAUUUAUUUACACUGAA